CCUACGGGCGGCAGCAGUGGGGAAUAUUGCACAAUGGGCGAAAGCCUGAUGCAGCAACGCCGCGUGAGCGAUGAAGGCCUUCGGGUUGUAAAGCUCUGUCCUCAGGGAAGAUAAUGACGGUACUUGAGGAGGAAGCCCCGGCUAACUACGUGCCAGCAGCCGCGGUAAUACGUAGGGGGCUAGCGUUAUCCGGAUUUACUGGGCGUAAAGGGGGCGUAGGUGGUUUCCUAAGUCAGAGGUGAAAGGCUACGGCUCAACCGGAGUAAGCCGUUGAAACUGGGGAGCUUGAGUGCAGGAGAGGAGAGGGGAAUUCCUAGUGUAGCGGUGAAAGGCGUAGAUAGUAGGAGGAACAACGGGUGCGAAGGCGGCUUGCUGGACUGUAACUGACACUGAGGCACGAAAGCGUGGGGAGCAAACAGGAUUAGAUACCCGAGUAGGC
This 439-nucleotide ribosomal RNA is filed under the name uncultured bacterium. RNAcentral describes it as "partial 16S ribosomal RNA". It matches the Rfam family "Bacterial small subunit ribosomal RNA", at positions 338 to 795 of the family's 1533-position model. The record is from RNAcentral.